RNAcentral lists this ribosomal RNA (477 nucleotides) under Candidatus Scalindua brodae. RNAcentral describes it as "bacterial SSU rRNA". It matches the Rfam family "Bacterial small subunit ribosomal RNA", at positions 365 to 832 of the family's 1533-position model. The record is from RNAcentral. Lineage: Bacteria; Pseudomonadati; Planctomycetota; Candidatus Brocadiia; Candidatus Brocadiales; Candidatus Scalinduaceae.
UUCGCAAUGCCCGAAAGGGUGACGAAGCGACGCCGCGUAGGUGAGGAAGGCCUUCGGGUUGUAAAGCCCUGUCAGGAGUUAAGAAAUGUAAGUGCGCUAAUAUCGCAUUUAUUUGACGAAGGCUCCAAAGGAAGUCACGGCUAACUCUGUGCCAGCAGCCGCGGUAAUACAGAGGUGGCAAGCGUUGUUCGGAAUUAUUGGGCGUAAAGAGCACGUAGGUGGGUUUGUAAGUCAGAUGUGAAAGCCUUCUGUUCAACGGAAGAAUUGCAUCUGAAACUGCGAGUCUUGAGUGUAGGAGGGGAGAAUGGAACUUCUGGUGGAGCGGUGAAAUGCGUAGAUAUCAGAAGGAACGCCGGCGGCGAAAGCGAUUCUCUGGCCUAUUACUGACACUCAGUGUGCGAAAGCUAGGGGAGCAAACGGGAUUAGAUACCCCGGUAGUCCUAGCCGUAAACGAUGGGCACUAAGUAGAGGGGUUUU